This 94-nucleotide transfer RNA is filed under the name Eriosoma lanigerum (woolly apple aphid). Its description in RNAcentral is "tRNA-Val". Lineage: Eukaryota; Metazoa; Arthropoda; Insecta; Hemiptera; Aphididae. The record is from RNAcentral.
UAAAUAUCUAAAUUAAGUAUAUUAUUUACAAUAAUAAGAUGUUAUUAAACUUUAUUUAAAUUUAAUUUAUUAGUUUUAUUUUUAUUUAUUUUUU